RNAcentral lists this transfer RNA (74 nucleotides) under Planctomycetota bacterium. RNAcentral's name for it is "Planctomycetes bacterium tRNA-Val". It matches the Rfam family "tRNA". Rfam says of the family: Transfer RNA (tRNA) molecules are approximately 80 nucleotides in length. Their secondary structure includes four short double-helical elements and three loops (D, anti-codon, and T loops). Further hydrogen bonds mediate the characteristic L-shaped molecular structure. tRNAs have two regions of fundamental functional importance: the anti-codon, which is responsible for specific mRNA codon recognition, and the 3' end, to which the tRNAs corresponding amino acid is attached (by aminoacyl-tRNA synthetases). tRNAs cope with the degeneracy of the genetic code in two manners: having more than one tRNA (with a specific anti-codon) for a particular amino acid; and 'wobble' base-pairing, i.e. permitting non-standard base-pairing at the 3rd anti-codon position. The record is from RNAcentral. RNAcentral also lists the same sequence under 3 other names. Lineage: Bacteria; Pseudomonadati; Planctomycetota.
GGGCGAUUGGCGCAGUUGGCUAGCGCGCCAGUAUGACACACUGGAGGUCACAGGUUCGAGCCCUGUAUCGCCCA